Molecule: RNA transcript, 2261 nt
Organism: Sitophilus oryzae (rice weevil)
Lineage: Eukaryota; Metazoa; Arthropoda; Insecta; Coleoptera; Curculionidae
Gene name: ammonium transporter 3-like
Exons: 4
Source: RefSeq, a predicted model, not a curated record
UUAAUCAUGAUUUGUCGUAAUCAUGGCUUAAUCAGACCUUUGAAUAUCAGUUACUUAUUUAAUCAUGUUAGAGACGCUAACACGUCUCGUUAAAUCUAAUCAAAAAAAUGACACUAUAAAAACUAUAAAUUUACAAAAAAGCCAAAAAAACGACGCCAAUGAAUUGACAUAAUUUGAUGGAAUUUUUCGAUCGAUACAUCGGUACCAAUAACUAAUCCUAAAAUCCCUAAGAUAUACAGUAUUGCCAACUAUUUCAAUGAUUUUGGAUCGCUCUGUAUAUUUAAAGUAGAUAUUUAUUCAAAUAUGAGGCAGAAAAUUGUGUUAAUAAAGUACUUCAACAUAGUUUCUUUUUUUACUGUAUUUAUUUAUGUCACGUUGAAGUUUUGAAAUGAAACAUUUUGAAAAUAAUUUAAACAAUCAUUCUGCAAAUCUAUUAGGUCUGAAUUCUACAGGCAGUUCUAAUGAAACAUGGGAAGGAAAUUCCAUAACAUCAAUUCGAAUAAUUUGUGUUAUAUUAUUGAGGGUAGGGUUCAUACUCGUACAAGUAGGAAGUAUUCCAGUGGAGAAUGUUUACAUCAUUAUAUUCAGAAAUGUAAUUGAAAUAGCCGUUGCUAUUUUUUCUUAUGGGUUCUUGGGGUACUACCUUUCUUUUGGCAGAAAAACUAUUCAUGGAAUUGUAAAUUAUGAUGGAUUCAUUGGUUUCGAAAACGCUAAUCUCAAUCUCGCAUCGAUAGGGUUUUCAGCUUGUAUUAUUGGAACUGCUUUAACUUCAAGUAUGCUAAUAGCCAGAGUAAGACAACUACCCUUGUUAACACUCACCAUAACUUUGAGCGCAAUAUAUCAACCGAUCUUAAUCUGCUGGAUUUGGAGUCAGUACGGCUGGAUGAAGAACUACACAUUACUAGAAGAAAAAGUCUCUUUGAAAGACCAUGGAGGAAACCUAUCAAUACAUGUCCCAACCUCCAUAGUAGGACUUUUAGGAGCAAUUUUCCUCGGGAGAAGAAUAAUGAAAGUACAAGAUAUCGAUCCAUUUUCUCUAGGAAAAGAGUACGUCAGCGGUACUGUUUCUGGGUACUUCUUCGUUAUGAUCGGUUUAAUGGGAUUUCAUCUGCCCAUUGAUUCUCAUACUAGGAAGGACAUCAGCAGGAUCUCUGUAAAUUGCAUUAUGGCAAUGGGUGGAGGUAUUCUCACAGUCGCGUUCAUUCAAAUGGUAAAGUCCAAGGACAUAUACAAGUACUGGAAGGUCAUGAGAUGUCUUCAGGGGGGAUUAGCGGGUAUAGUGAUGGUUUCAAGUGGAAUAGACCUUUAUAAUCCAGCUGUUACUUUUGGUGUCUCCAUUUUUGGGGCUUUACUUUUCUUUAUAUCUUCUCUCAUUGUUCGUAAAUCACCUUUAGAAGACUGUUGUAACAUAAUUAGUGUUUAUCUAGUUUGUGGCACUUUCGGUACUCCAAUUCCAGCGAUAUUUACCAAAAAUUCUGUAGAGGUAAUUCUAAUUCAUGUGCUUUGGCAACUUAUUUGUCUGGGGACUGUAAUAGUAGUAACAUGUGUGGUGUUUGUCAUACUUUUUUGUUUCUUCACUUGCUGUGGUGUUCUUAAGAACGAUUUUGAAGAAGUCAACCACGAAAGGGCUAAUAUAUUGUAUGGAAGACUGAAUUGGAGAAGCUAUUACGACAAAUUGUUUGCGUCAAGUAAGAACAAAGAAAUAUCGCCGAAUAGUAACAGGAGUGAAAUGACUCAAACAUUCAAUAUUUUUUAAUCAUUAUUCUUAUUAAAACUAUUUAUAUUUUUCGUGUUUUGGUACAGAUUAUCAACAAUGGAGUCCUUUGCUUCGCACAAGUUUUCCUAGCCAUUAGAUGUGGAAAUGUAAUAUUAAUAUAGAAUAACACAUCUAAGAUAUUUAUGUUUCAUUAUGUCCAGUUAUCUUAUUCAUAUAAUGAAAUUUUAUCAAAAUCAUUAUAAAUUCGGAAAGACGAUCAACGAAGUAGUAGGUAACCAUUUUUCCAAAUGGAUUCAUAGUAUACUACACCUCACUAAGCAGAUAAAGCAUAGAUGAAGUUGUAAAAAUGCCACAUUAUUUGUUGGUUUCGAAAAUGCUAACUUCAAUCUUGCAUGGAUAGGUUUUUCAACUUUAACUUCAAGCAUGUUAAUAUGUAGCUAGUGUAAGACAACUACCUUUGUUAACACUCACCAUAAUUUUGAGCGCAAUAUAUCAACCGAUCUUAAUGUACUGGAUUUGGAGUCAAUACGGCUGGAUGAAGAAC